RNAcentral lists this ribosomal RNA (374 nucleotides) under uncultured archaeon. RNAcentral's name for it is "bacterial SSU rRNA". It matches the Rfam family "Archaeal small subunit ribosomal RNA", at positions 450 to 824 of the family's 1478-position model. The record is from RNAcentral.
UUCUGGUGUCAGCCGCCGCGGUAAAACCAGCACCUCAAGUGGUCAGGAUGAUUAUUGGGCCUAAAGCAUCCGUAGCCGGUUCUGUAAGUUUUCGGUUAAAUCUGUACGCUCAACGUACAGGCUGCCGGGAAUACUGCAAAACUAGGGAGUGGGAGAGGUAGACGGUACUCGGUAGGAAGGGGUAAAAUCCUUUGAUCUAUUGAUGACCACCUGUGGCGAAGGCGGUCUACCAGAACACGUCCGACGGUGAGGGAUGAAAGCUGGGGGAGCAAACCGGAUUAGAUACCCGGGUAGUCCCAGCUGUAAACUAUGCAAACUCAGUGAUGCAUUGGCUUGUGGCCAAUGCAGUGUUGCAGGGAAGCCGUUAAGUUUGC